This 468-nucleotide ribosomal RNA is filed under the name uncultured bacterium. Its description in RNAcentral is "partial 16S ribosomal RNA". It matches the Rfam family "Bacterial small subunit ribosomal RNA", at positions 28 to 507 of the family's 1533-position model. The record is from RNAcentral.
GACGAACGCUGGCGGCGUGCUUAACACAUGCAAGUCGAACGGAAAGGCCCUGCUUUUGUGGGGUGCUCGAGUGGCGAACGGGUGAGUAACACGUGAGUAACCUGCCCUUGACUUUGGGAUAACUUCAGGAAACUGGGGCUAAUACCGGAUAGGAGCUCCUGCUGCAUGGUGGGGGUUGGAAAGUUUCGGCGGUUGGGGAUGGACUCGCGGCUUAUCAGCUUGUUGGUGGGGUAGUGGCUUACCAAGGCUUUGACGGGUAGCCGGCCUGGGAGGGUGACCGGCCACAUUGGGCCUGAGAUACGGCCCAGACUCCUACGGGGGGCAGCAGUGGGGAAUAUUGCACAAUGGGCGGAAGCCUGAUGCAGCAACGCCGCGUGCGGGAUGACGGCCUUCGGGUUGUAAACCGCUUUAGCCUGUGACGAAGCGUGAGUGACGGUAAUGGGUAAAGAAGCACCGGCUAACUACGUG